This 391-nucleotide ribosomal RNA is filed under the name uncultured bacterium. Its description in RNAcentral is "bacterial SSU rRNA". It matches the Rfam family "Bacterial small subunit ribosomal RNA", at positions 30 to 416 of the family's 1533-position model. The record is from RNAcentral.
AGUGAACGCUGGCGGCAGGCCUAACACAUGCAAGUCGAACGGCAGCACGGCAGUAGCAAUACUGUGGGUGGCGAGUGGCGGACGGGUGAGGAAUACAUCGGGAUCUACCCUGUUGUGGGGGAUAACGUAGGGAAACUUACGCUAAUACCGCAUAAGAACUGAGGUUGAAAGCGGCGGACCGCAAGGCGUCGCGCGAUUGGAUGAACCGAUGUCCGAUUAGCUAGUUGGCGGGUAAAGGCCCACCAAGGCGACGAUCGGUAGCUGGUCUGAGAGGACGACCAGCCACACUGGAACUGAGACACGGUCCAGACUCCUACGGGAGGCAGCAGUGGGGAAUAUUGGACAAUGGGCGCAAGCCUGAUCCAGCCAUGCCGCGUGGGUGAAGAAGGCC